UAGGGAAUCUUCCACAAUGGACGAAAGUCUGAUGGAGCAACGCCGCGUGAGUGAAGAAGGGUUUCGGCUCGUAAAACUCUGUUGUUAAAGAAGAACAUAUCUGAGAGUAACUGUUCAGGUAUUGACGGUAUUUAACCAGGAAGCCACGGCUAACUACGUGCCGG
Molecule: ribosomal RNA, 164 nt
Filed under: uncultured bacterium
Lineage: Bacteria
Description: partial 16S rRNA
Rfam family: Bacterial small subunit ribosomal RNA
Source: RNAcentral